RNAcentral lists this ribosomal RNA (1350 nucleotides) under uncultured prokaryote. Its description in RNAcentral is "partial 16S ribosomal RNA". It matches the Rfam family "Archaeal small subunit ribosomal RNA". The record is from RNAcentral.
UCGCCCUUCGGUUGAUCCUGCCGGAGGCUACCGCUAUUGGAGUUCGAUUAAGCCAUGCGAGUCGCGAGAAAUUAGAUUCUCGGCGUACCGCUCAGUAACACGUGGGUAACCUGCCCUAUGCUGGAUAAUAACCUCGGGAAACUGAGAAUAAUGCCCCAUAGUUCACCACACCUGGAACGGUGGGUGGAUGAAAGCUCCGGCGGCAUAGGAUGGGCCUGCGGCGUAUCAGGUUGUAGGGGGUGUAAUGUACCCUCUAGCCAUCUACGCGUACGGGUGUUGAGAGACAUAGCCCGGAGAUGGAUUCUGAGACACGAAUCCAGACCCUACGGGGUGCAGCAGGCGCGAAAACUUGGCAAUGCGAGAAAUCGUGACCAGGGAACUCCAAGUGCAUCGGGUAAGACCGGUGCUUUUCUUGACUCUAAAUAGGUCUUGGAAUAAGGGGUGGGUAAGGACGGUGCCAGCCGCCGCGGUAAUACCGGCGCCUCAAGUGGUAGUCGCUUUUAUUGGGCCUAAAACGUCCGUAGCCUGUCUGGUACAUUCGUGGGUAAAUCAACCAGCUCAACUGGUUGAAUUCUGCGAGGACGGUCAGACUUGGGACCGGGAGAGGUGUGGGGUACGCUCAGGGUAGGGGUAAAAUCCUGUCAUCCUGAGCGGACCACCUGUGGCGAAGGCGGUCUACCAGAACACGUCCGACGGUGAGGGAUGAAAGCUGGGGGAGCAAACCGGAUUAGAUACCCGGGUAGUCCCAGCUGUAAACUAUGCAAACUCGGUGAUGCAUUGGCUUGAUGCCAAUGCAGUGCCGCAGGGAAGCCGUUAAGUUUGCCGCCUGGGAAGUACGUACGCAAGUAUGAAACUUAAAGGAAUUGGCGGGGGAGCACCACAAGGGGUGAAGCCUGCGGUUCAAUUGGAGCCAACGCCAGAAAUCUUACCCGGAGAGACAGCAGAAUGAAGGUCAAGCUGAAGACUUUACCAGACAAGCUGAGAGGUGGUGCAUGGCCGUCGCCAGCUCGUGCCGUGAGAUGUCCUGUUAAGUCAGGUAACGAGCGAGAUCCCUGCCUCUAGUUGCCACCAUUACUCUCAGGAGUAGUGGGGCGAAUUAGCGGGACCGCCGCAGUUAAUGCGGAGGAAGGAAGGGGCCACGGCAGGUCAGUAUGCCCCGAAACUCUGGGGCCACACGCGGGCUGCAAUGGUAAUGACAAUGGGUUCCGAAUCCGAAAGGAGGAGGUAAUCCCCAAACAUUACCACAGUUAUGACUGAGGGCUGCAACUCGCCCUCACGAAUAUGGAAUCCCUAGUAACUGCGUGUCAUUAUCGCGCGGUGAAUACGUCCCUGCUCCUUGCACACACCGCC